This is a long non-coding RNA of Corvus hawaiiensis (hawaiian crow), 2588 nucleotides long. RefSeq lists it as uncharacterized. The record is from RefSeq and is a predicted model, not a curated record. NCBI's taxonomy places the organism in Eukaryota, Metazoa, Chordata, Aves, Passeriformes, Corvidae. The transcript has 2 exons.
AUGAGAGGAGGUAAUCCCUCAUUUUACUAUUUAGUAGAUUUGUGCUCUCCUAUGAUAGGCUGCUGGGCAGAAUAUGAAACCCCAGAGAUAUAAAAAGAUCUUUGUUGCCCGAUGAAUAUGGAACCUUUAAGGAAAAAGGAAGAGGGCUCUGGAUUAAAAAAGGCUGCUUGUAUACAAACAUGCACUUCCUCACCGUGAUCCUGAUAUAUUCAUAUCUACAGCCAAACCCACGUUCUAGUCCUUAUCCUUCUGUGUUGACUUGAGAUGACGUCCUGUGGCUUAUGCAUUCAGAAAGCAGAUAAGUGUGUAGUUUACAGUGACCUAAAAAAACUAAGCUUGGCAUUUUCUAUUUACUUCCAAGGCUUGUACCAUCUCUGGGUCUUGGCAGGAGAGGAGGAGAAAGGAAAAGUGCAGAGAAACUCAAUAAAUAAACCCUGGGCUGAAAUCUAGAGAUGCUUUUAUAAAAAGUGAGCUGGCAUGAGCAGCUUACUGGAUAAUCACCAGGUCAGGGAAGGGAACAGGGCUGCCCAAGGAGACCCACCAGGAAGGAAUUCAACUCAGCAGCUGGAGAAGGACCCUGGGGAUGUUGUAUCUGAGUGCAAGGGAGCAUCCCAGCGGUCGUCAGGCUCUGCUGAAGGACCUGCAGCCAGCUCUGCUUUCAUGCUCUAGUGGGCAGAAAGCAGGGUACAAGCCCCUCCUGUGGCUGUGGCCUCCUGCUUGCACCACACAGCUGUUUCAGGCAGGCAGAGGUGCUGGGCUUUCACUCUCUCCACUGCUUGAGGAGUUCUGCUUGCUUUGAAAUACCAUCUCCCACUUUCCCCACAGAGGUUUGGAGCUACUGGGAAAUUCCUGCACUGGCUCACCCCUGCCACCAGAAUGCAAAAUUAACCUCAAGCAACCUCCAGCAAUGGAAAAUUCUCCUGCAGCUCUGUGGUACCGUGGAUGCUGCUCAGUUGCCAUUUGAAAUGCUGGAAUGCUGAAGGUUCCUUCAGGAAGGACAAAGGCUGGCAAUUCACUAUUUCUUCCUGUCCUAAUAGAAGGUUUGUGUGGUGAACCUUUCCCAGCCCAUCCUGGCGCUAUUGCAGUGAGCUGGAGGGCAGCUGGUAACCGGGAUUUUUCUGAAGCAAGCCUGGUUGUUUGCAUUGCUGCUGCCCCUGCCCGUGAGUGUGUAAGAGGAGACAGGGAAGGUGAUUAUCCAUCACGGGCUAUUCUCUCCUCUUGCCGUGAAGUGAAUGAGAAGUGCUGUUUCUGAGAGAGCCUAUUCGUGUUUUUAUGCAAUAAGUCAUGGUGCUGAAAUAGCAUCUCUCCUGGCAAAAUACCCCACAGCCAGUGCCGCGCAUGCUGCGUUUCACUGACUCUUUCAGGGCUCAGCUAAGAGACUUGAGUUUGGAAAGUAUCUGACAGCCUGGAGUUAAUUCUAGAUAAAGGAACUUGAAACCAUUUCCUUUCUUGUCAGUGAUGACAGUGAAACUGUAAUUAAAGUGGAAAAGAAUUCUCUAUGAGGUCUGUGGGUCAUGAGGAUAUACAAUGAAAUAUUUCCUGCAGAACAAAAAGUAGUAAACCUGCCCACAGAUGUAAGCCUAGUGCUGCUCUGGAUAUGGGUAAUUUAAUAUUCAGCAGAUGAGUCUGAACACCUGUCAUCUUAAUAAUUUAACAUUUAGAUACCCAUGAUAAAUCUGAUGAUAAAAUCAUGUAGGUGUAUACACUACGGUGCGUCCUCUAAUUCAGGAAUAAAAGUACUUUAGUAGAACAUGCAGGACAUCCUUCAAGGCUCACAGAUCCCUCCGAAUUUACUUUCUGCCUAUAAACAGAGGAAACGGGAGGGGUCCUCGUAAAUCAAUGCUAAAUUGCUAGUGUUAACUGGGGAAUGAUCAGUAAUUCACCUGAUGUUCAGAAAGGGACACUCACGUACUAAUUAGACCUUUGAGACUUCGGGUGGUACCCUUAAAGUCAUCACAGAGGGCAAUCAGCACUACCAAAACAACCCAGAUUAGGAAAAGUGCUGUUGAUUUAAGUAGUUUCAGUAGUUCAGUACCAGCUGGGGAUUUAGAGUGGCAAAAACUACCCCACCCAUCAACUUAACUCGCCAUGCUUGAGAGUUUUAAAGGGGACUGGUGAGCAGUACUCUGACACUUCCUUCAAAAAAUGAAGUUAACACUUUUUAAAGUGGGAAUUAAUGCUUUCCCAUUAUCCCAGACACGGAGCUGACAAACCCUGGGCAAGCAUCGGCACAAACCUGUCAGCUAGGGGCUGUCUCUGGCAGAGCAACCUAAGGGAGAGGAAGGUGAUGGGGGAUCAUCGAGAAGCGUUUUGGGGUGUGGACAGUUUAAAAAAGAAGCCCCUUUUUGCCUGGCAUCUGCUUUUCUUAAAAAGCUUUUUCUUGGCUGUGAUUUGUCUUUAGUUUGGCACUUACUACCGCUUUCUAUUUCAAGUAGAAAAUGCUGAAAUUGAUCCAUAGCAGAUAAAAGCUAAUUGCUGCAAGAAUAUUUGAGUUAACGGUCUCCUCAGAUGUUGUCUAUUAAAUUCAAAUGUAUAAUUCAUAUGCCAAUAUUGGAGGAAAAAAAGGUAGAAUAAAAUAUUCAAAUUAU